This 2881-nucleotide long non-coding RNA is filed under the name Oryctolagus cuniculus (rabbit). RNAcentral's name for it is "lncRNA (ENSOCUG00000039149.1)". Lineage: Eukaryota; Metazoa; Chordata; Mammalia; Lagomorpha; Leporidae. The record is from RNAcentral.
GGGUUUGUUGACAGCUCCGGGAGUCGGGGCCUUGGGGGAGCAGCAGCUUUCUCAGUCGUACGAAGAACAGCAAGGCUGGGGCCCAGCCCUCCACUCCGAGCUUGCUCAGUGGCACCCUUAGUCCUGGGUGCUAGCAGCAUUGGGUUCAGCCCAUUCACAGGCCACAGACAGACACCUGUCUCAGCAGGAAAUGGAGUGGUAAAGAGGACAGGUUUGGGGCCGGUGCUGCGGCUCACUAGGCUAAUCCUCCGCCUUGCGGCGCCAGCACACUGGGUUCUAGUCCCGGUCGGGGCGCCGGAUUCUUUCCCGGUUGCCCCUCUUCCAGGCCAGCUCUCUGCUGUGGCCCGGGAAGGCAGUGGAGGAUGGCCCAAGUGCUUGGGCCCUGCACCCCAUGGGAGACCAGGAGAAGUACCCUGGCUCCUGCCAUCGGAUCAGCGUGGUGCACUGGCUGCAGCACGCCGGCCGCGGCGGCCAUUGGAGGGUGAACCAACAGCAAAAAGGAAGACCUUUCUCUCUGUCUCUCUCUCUCACUGUCCACUCUGCCUGUCAAAAAAAAAAAAAAAAAAAAAAGGACAGGUUUGGGCUCUGCCCGCAGGGAGCCAUCCUGGUGGGGAGCCAGCCUGUUACCCUGCACUUGGCUACCUAAGAAGCUGUGCCAGAGCAGGAAGCGCAGCGGAGACAGUGCAACAGAGCUGUGGCAUAGGGCAGGUCAGGGGUGCAAGUCAGGUGGCCAGGGCGCUCAGGGCGCGGUGCCUGGCUCUGGAGCUGACCUGGGAGCCACCUGUGCCGACGGGGGCCAGCUGGCCACGAGAGCACCAACCACAUGGAAGCAGCCCUGGGUGCUCUGUAGUACCUGCCGUCUUCCACGAAAUGCCCCAUUUCAUGACUUCCUCCUCGGGGCUGGGUGCUGCCUCGGAUCAUUAGGCGCUGUGUCACGAAGGCCCAGUGCUCCGUUCAAGUGCUGCCUCAUCACGUGGGCCUCAGCCUGCACCUCUCUACCAAGGGCCGCCUGGGACGGCACCCCACACAUAUCACCAGCGAAAGGGCCCGUCUCAUUUUCUCCACGGAAGGACUGUCACACAGCCUCAAGUCGUUCCUCCUCCUGUGUACAUGCCCCUCGCCUGGGACUCCGCGGCUCCUCCCACCUGAAGGCAUCUGCUCUUCACCUUUGCCAUGGAUUUGUCACGUGACUUGCAUUGCCAAACAUGGCGUCGGCACUCACUGUCUUGCCGGGAGACUGCCUUGGGGUUGAGUCCGGCUCAGCUGCUGCUGUGGGACGAGAUGCCAAGUGGGGACCCAAAUGGCCAUGGCCAGCAGAACUGCCGAUGACAGACACGGGAGGGAUCCUUUCUAGAACUCUGCCAGCCGCAGAUGACCUGCAGAGCCCUGCAGACCUUGAUGAGGCCAGCACCCAGCUGCCCCACAGGAUGGGGUCGUAAAUAGAAGUAACUGUCGUAAAGCAUUACAUCCUGGGAUGCUUUGCUGGGCUGCAGAGGUGAGUGGGCGCAUGUCGUCUGUGCCAGUGAGCAGGUGACGCCCCCGCAGGGCCCCGCAGGGCCCCACCAAAGGCAGGUGGACCCCUGGCUGUUGCACAGCUCCCCCAGGCUGGCCAGCCCUGCACGAGCAGUACUGCUCAAGGCCUAGCUGACAGGCAGCGAGUCUCUGCCCCUCGGAUCUGCAGGAUGGGCUCUGCCCAUCGGCACCAGACACUUGGGAAGCUGCUAGGGAAUUGCACCAGCAAGCUCUCUCUGCCAUGCCUCUCACAGCCCCUCCUGGUGCUCGGAAGCCCACACUCUAUCCCCUACACAGCUCCUGCUGGGCUUGCCUGCCUCGCACUAGUCUUGGAUGGUGACCCCAGGUAGGCACUUUGCUCUUCCACCUGCCGUGGACCCACUGCUGUCUGCCCCAGCACGGCCAUGGGUUCCCCACAGCCUCAUCUGGCCACUGGCUGACUGAUGACCAGGGAGUUUUUUUGCUUUCCUAAAUCCUGACACCAUGCAGUAUGAGCUUUGACUGACAGGCACGUGGGUGCCGAGUGCCAGCCUGCUGGUGUCCCUAGCUCCUCUGCACCAGCUCAUCACCCUGUGAUCCCCGCAGCAGUGGUGAUGACCUGAUGUGUUACCUGUCUCCCCCAGACGUCAGCUCAGUGAGGCUGGCCUGGCUCCUCUGCUCCCCAUCAGGUCCCCAGAGCCUGGCAGGUGCCCAUCACACAGCAGGCACCUGGGAGCUGUUGCUCAGUAGGUGGAGUGGGGUCUGGAGGGCUGCAGGCUGAGGUAUGUUGAGAGGGGCCCCCCACAGCCUGCACCCCCUGCCACCCUUCCAGGCAGCUCUGGCCCCACCAACAUCGUCCAAGUUGCCAGGCUGCCGCGCUCUGCAGGGGCGGGAGACGUCAGCCGAGCUGAGAGCGAUCCUGGAAGUGACAGGUGCUUCUUAGCUCCGGGCGUGCCCCAGGCCCAGGCUGAAUUGGCUGUCGCAGCAGCCCCUGUUUCCUGGGCUAAUUGGGGAAGGAGGGUGGGGAAGGGGAGGGAACCAGAGGUAGAGGAAGCUCUGUUCCCCGCCCCGACCAAAGGUGAGCCAGGCUCGCUUGUAAAGCACUGAGCCUGUGUGUGUGUGUGUGUGUGUGUGUGUGUGUGUGUGUGUGCAGAGAGAGAGAGAGGGAAACAGACACACACAGAGACAGACACAGGCAAUCACAGGGCUGCAGGCACAAACCAGGGCUGGAGGCAGUGUGGGGGAGGGCCGCCUUUGUCGCUGGAGCAGACUGGAAGUUGGGGAGUGGGGAGGGCCUGUGUGAUGCAAACCCAGUAACGAGGCUGCCAAGGGGCUCUCAAAAUAACUUCAUUAUUAAAAAAUAAAAAUCAUGGGCUGGCAUUGCGGUGCA